Long non-coding RNA from Eucalyptus grandis, 143 nucleotides. RefSeq lists it as uncharacterized. Lineage: Eukaryota; Viridiplantae; Streptophyta; Magnoliopsida; Myrtales; Myrtaceae. The transcript has 3 exons. The record is from RefSeq and is a predicted model, not a curated record.
UGAAUCAGUUAGAGUGGCGGAUUCCUCUGUAUGGACCCUUUGGAGAGGAGGUUUCGAGAGUGCUAGGCGGUGGUCUUGUGCCAGGUUCCUUAAUUUUGGUGGGAGGUGAUCCUGGUGUUGGCAAGAGUACCCUGUUGCUGCAG